UAGGGCGAUCCGUUGGCGCAUGAGAGAAUAUCUCACAAUUUGCUUUUCAGAAUAACCUUGAAUAUUUGAGGAAUGGCCUCAUUUAAUCUCCAGUAGCAAAAUUCUGAAUAGUAUUGGAGGUGUUAUGCGUCUGGAUCGUCUUAC
RNAcentral lists this non-coding RNA (144 nucleotides) under Photorhabdus laumondii subsp. laumondii TTO1. Its description in RNAcentral is "Photorhabdus luminescens subsp. laumondii TTO1 Yersinia sRNA 155(RyfD)". It matches the Rfam family "Yersinia sRNA 155(RyfD)". The record is from Rfam by way of RNAcentral. Lineage: Bacteria; Pseudomonadati; Pseudomonadota; Gammaproteobacteria; Enterobacterales; Morganellaceae.